This 22-nucleotide non-coding RNA is filed under the name Arabidopsis thaliana (thale cress). The record is from RNAcentral. Lineage: Eukaryota; Viridiplantae; Streptophyta; Magnoliopsida; Brassicales; Brassicaceae.
UUCUAUUUUCGAAAGAUUCUGC